CCUACGGGAGGCAGCAGUGGGGAAUAUUGGGCAAUGGGCGCAAGCCUGACCCAGCAACGCCGCGUGAAGGAAGAAGGCUUUCGGGUUGUAAACUUCUUUUAAGAGGGAAGAGCAGAAGACGGUACCUCUUGAAUAAGCCACGGCUAACUACGUGCCAGCAGCCGCGGUAAUACGUAGGUGGCAAGCGUUGUCCGGAUUUACUGGGUGUAAAGGGCGUGUAGCCGGGCUGACAAGUCAGAUGUGAAAUCCCGGGGCUCAACCCCCGACCUGCAUUUGAAACUGUUGGUCUUGAGUAUCGGAGAGGCAGGCGGAAUUCCUAGUGUAGCGGUGAAAUGCGUAGAUAUCAGGAGGAACACCGGUGGCGAAGGCGGCCUGCUGGACGGCGACUGACGUUGAGGCACGAAAGCGUGGGGAGCAAACAGGAUUAGAUACCCCUGUAGUC
This 442-nucleotide ribosomal RNA is filed under the name uncultured bacterium. RNAcentral's name for it is "partial 16S ribosomal RNA". It matches the Rfam family "Bacterial small subunit ribosomal RNA", at positions 338 to 795 of the family's 1533-position model. The record is from RNAcentral.